RNAcentral lists this ribosomal RNA (253 nucleotides) under uncultured bacterium. Its description in RNAcentral is "partial 16S ribosomal RNA". It matches the Rfam family "Bacterial small subunit ribosomal RNA", at positions 524 to 776 of the family's 1533-position model. The record is from RNAcentral.
UACGGGGGGGGCAAGCGUUGUUCGGAAUUACUGGGCGUAAAGGGUUCGUAGGUGGCCAACUAAGUCAGACGUGAAAUCCCUCAGCUUAACUGGGGAACUGCGUCUGAUACUGGUUGGCUUGAGUGCAGGAGAGGAACGCGGAAUUCCAGGUGUAGCGGUGAAAUGCGUAGAUAUCUGGAGGAACGCCGGUGGCGAAGGCGGCGUUCUGGACUGCAACUGACACUGAGGAACGAAAGCCAGGGGAGCAAACGGG